UGCUAUAGUUGUCAGCUAAGUGGCGCACGGGUGAGUAAUGUAUAGAUAACCUGCCCUUAAGAAAGGAAUAACAGUUGGAAACGACUGCUAAUGCCCUAUAUGCCUUUAAUACAUAAGUAUGCAAGGGAAACGCUUUAGUGCUUAAGGAUGGGUCUGUAUGGUAUCAGCUUGUUGGUGAGGUAAUGGCUCACCAAGGCUAUGACGCCUAACUGGUUUGAGAGGAUGAUCAGUCACACUGGAACUGAGACACGGUCCAGACUCCUACGGGAGGCAGCAGUGGGGAAUAUUGCACAAUGGACGAAAGUCUGAUGCAGCAACGCCGCGUGGAGGAUGACACAUUUCGGUGCGUAAACUCCUUUUAUAUAGGAAGAUAAUGACGGUACUAUAUGAAUAAGCACCGGCUAACUCCGUGCCAGCAGCCGCGGUAAUACGGAGGGUGCAAGCGUUACUCGGAAUCACUGGGCGUAAAGAGCGUGUAGGCGGGUAUAUAAGUCAGAAGUGAAAUCCAAUAGCUCAACUAUUGAACUGCUUUUGAAACUGUAUACCUAGAAUGUGGGAGAGGUAGAUGGAAUUUCUGGUGUAGGGGUAAAAUCCGUAGAGAUCAGAAGGAAUACCGAUUGCGAAGGCGAUCUACUGGAACAUUAUUGACGCUGAGACGCGAAAGCGUGGGGAGCAAACAGGAUUAGAUACCCUGGUAGUCCACGCCCUAAACGAUGUACACUAGUUGUUGUGAGGCUCGACCUUGCAGUAAUGCAGUUAACACAUUAAGUGUACCGCCUGGGGAGUACGGUCGCAAGAUU
Molecule: ribosomal RNA, 800 nt
Filed under: uncultured bacterium
Lineage: Bacteria
Description: bacterial SSU rRNA
Rfam family: Bacterial small subunit ribosomal RNA
Source: RNAcentral